Lates calcarifer (barramundi perch) is the source of this 1097-nucleotide long non-coding RNA. RefSeq lists it as uncharacterized. Lineage: Eukaryota; Metazoa; Chordata; Actinopteri; Centropomidae. The record is from RefSeq and is a predicted model, not a curated record. The transcript has 3 exons.
UUGCAUCGUUUUUUGUCUGGCUGUUUUACAUCUACUUACGGUCAGCUUCUGUGCCUAUGUAGUUUUGUGUCUAUUCCACGUCAUUUAACAUUUCUUUGUGACCAUUUUGUGUUUCAGUGUGGCAAUUAAGCGUUUCAUUGUGAUCGUUUUGCGACUCUCUUUUUUUUUUUUUUUUUUGCCUUUGUAGCUUUGUGGUAGUAAUCUCUCCAUCGCCAUCCAUUGAUCCCUGUUGUGUAUAUUAAUGAUUAGAAAUUUGUUUGCGUGACUUGAGACUUUACUAAGCUCAGUUUUGAGUUAAAUACAAGAUUGAAAACCAGAUUUUAAUUUUGUGCUCCUUCGCAAGUUUUGAGCCACAAGAGUAGGUCACAAUGUAUGAGCUGAAAUAUUAAAAACUAUUUGAAAAGUUGCUUUUCUCUCCGAGAUGAAUGAAUUCAUAACAUAAUUUAUUCACCUCAAAUCUUAAACUGUGAUUUCAAGGUUCUAGUAUUUCAUAUCCUAUUUUUUGUAAUUAGGUUAUUUGUUUUUCAAGUGUUUUACUUGUGUUCCCCAGGUUUACUCGUUCAGCUGCUGCAACCUGGACAGAAACACCAGCUCUCACCUCACAAACCAAACAGGAUUCAAACUUCAACCAUUAAAUCACAUAGAAGAGACAGACGUGAAGACAUUUCCAGAAGGUCUUCGGCUGCUGUCGUCUUCUCCUUCUGCAGAGACAAGAAACAAGAACUGAUCAGUAAAACUAAAUACUUUCACGACAUACUAUUCUCUGACAUUUUUUGGUGUUUUUGACAACUUACUAUACUAUGACAUUUCACUUAAGACAAAGGAACUCUCUCUUAAGUGGCCAUCAUACCUUUGUUUUCCACAGAAACACCUCUACAUAGUGUUUGUGGGUUAGAUUAGAUUUUCAUUUUAGUAUUUUGCCAGAGUGCAAUAUCAGUACUCAAAUCCACUCUAUUACUGUGUACAUAGUCCUGUUUAUACUGUUCAUAUUAUAUGUUUUAUCUUGUCUUUUUCUAUUUUUGCUGUUGCACCACCGAAUUUCUCCGUUGUGGAACUGAUAAAGGAUCUUACUCAAAUAAAUACUUCUGAACACUGAA